CACGAAAGAGCAUUGUCCGUCAGCUGGGCUGCUGCUAGGGCAACCUUCUUGGCCUCACUAUAUUGGUAAUAGUCGAAGAUGUACUCCAUGCGCUUCUCCCACACGAUGUAGGCAUCCGGAUCAACCUUGCCGGCAAACGUUGGGGGAUGAAGCUUAAGCGCCUUGCCUCCCAACCAGGGCUCUUCCUCCUCUCGGUCUCGACCUCCCCUAUGGUCGCGGCCUCCUCCUACUUGGGCCCGGGGUCCUCGCGCGUUCCUCCUACCUCCCCGGUUUGGCCUCUCCUCGUCCUGACUGCGCGUAUCAUCGGUACUGUCCGCGUCCGAGUCAGUGUCAUGCGGGUCCGGCUGAUGCCUUCCUGGUGGUCGAGGUCCGUUGGGCCUGCCUCCCUGCCGUAUCUGAGCAAGCUCGGC
Molecule: long non-coding RNA, 410 nt
Filed under: Brassica napus (rape)
Lineage: Eukaryota; Viridiplantae; Streptophyta; Magnoliopsida; Brassicales; Brassicaceae
Description: long non-coding RNA (BNAP_LNC025271)
Source: RNAcentral